UACAGAGGUGGCAAGCGUUGUUCGGAAUUACUGGGCGUAAAGGGCGCGUAGGCGGUCUUGUCAGUCCCUUGUGAAAUCCUCCGGCUCAACUGGGGAACUGCACGGGAAACAGCAGGGCUUGAGUUCGGGAGAGGGAAGCGGAAUUCCGGGUGUAGCGGUGAAAUGCGUAGAUAUCCGGAGGAACACCGGUGGCGAAGGCGGCUAUCUGGCCCGUAAUUGACGCUGAGGCGCGAAAGCGUGGGGAGCAAACAGG
RNAcentral lists this ribosomal RNA (253 nucleotides) under uncultured bacterium. RNAcentral's name for it is "partial 16S ribosomal RNA". It matches the Rfam family "Bacterial small subunit ribosomal RNA", at positions 524 to 776 of the family's 1533-position model. The record is from RNAcentral.